AUUGAACGCUGGCGGCAUGCCUUACACAUGCAAGUCGAACGGCAGCACGGGUGCUUGCACCUGGUGGCGAGUGGCGAACGGGUGAGUAAUACAUCGGAACAUGUCCUGUAGUGGGGGAUAGCCCGGCGAAAGCCGGAUUAAUACCGCAUACGAUCUACGGAUGAAAGCGGGGGACCUUCGGGCCUCGCGCUAUAGGGUUGGCCAAUGGCUGAUUAGCUAGUUGGUGGGGUAAAGGCCUACCAAGGCGACGAUCAGUAGCUGGUCUGAGAGGACGACCAGCCACACUGGGACUGAGACACGGCCCAGACUCCUACGGGAGGCAGCAGUGGGGAAUUUUGGACAAUGGGCGAAAGCCUGAUCCAGCAAUGCCGCGUGUGUGAAGAAGGCCUUCGGGUUGUAAAGCACUUUUGUCCGGAAAGAAAUCCUUGGCCCUAAUACGGUCGGGGGAUGACGGUACCGGAAGAAUAAGCACCGGCUAACUACGUG
Molecule: ribosomal RNA, 486 nt
Filed under: uncultured bacterium
Lineage: Bacteria
Description: partial 16S ribosomal RNA
Rfam family: Bacterial small subunit ribosomal RNA
Source: RNAcentral